AAAUUGAAGAGUUUGAUCAUGGCUCAGAUUGAACGCUGGCGGCAGGCCUAACACAUGCAAGUCGAACGGUAACAGGAAGCAGCUUGCUGCUUUGCUGACGAGUGGCGGACGGGUGAGUAAUGUCUGGGAAACUGCCUGAUGGAGGGGGAUAACUACUGGAAACGGUGGCUAAUACCGCAUAACGUCGCAAGACCAAAGAGGGGGACCUUCGGGCCUCUUGCCAUCAGAUGUGCCCAGAUGGGAUUAGCUAGUUGGUGAGGUAACGGCUCACCAAGGCGACGAUCCCUAGCUGGUCUGAGAGGAUGACCAGCCACACUGGAACUGAGACACGGUCCAGACUCCUACGGGAGGCAGCAGUGGGGAAUAUUGCACAAUGGGCGCAAGCCUGAUGCAGCCAUGCCGCGUGUAUGAAGAAGGCCUUAGGGUUGUAAAGUACUUUCAGCGGGGAGGAAGGUGUUGCGGUUAAUAACCGCAGCAAUUGACGUUACCCGCAGAAGAAGCACCGGCUAACUCCGUGCCAGCAGCCGCGGUAAUACGGAGGGUGCAAGCGUUAAUCGGAAUUACUGGGCGUAAAGCGCACGCAGGCGGUCUGUCAAGUCGGAUGUGAAAUCCCCGGGCUCAACCUGGGAACUGCAUUCGAAACUGGCAGGCUUGAGUCUUGUAGAGGGGGGUAGAAUUCCAGGUGUAGCGGUGAAAUGCGUAGAGAUCUGGAGGAAUACCGGUGGCGAAGGCGGCCCCCUGGACAAAGACUGACGCUCAGGUGCGAAAGCGUGGGGAGCAAACAGGAUUAGAUACCCUGGUAGUCCACGCCGUAAACGAUGUCUACUUGGAGGUUGUGCCCUUGAGGCGUGGCUUCCGGAGCUAACGCGUUAAGUAGACCGCCUGGGGAGUACGGCCGCAAGGUUAAAACUCAAAUGAAUUGACGGGGGCCCGCACAAGCGGUGGAGCAUGUGGUUUAAUUCGAUGCAACGCGAAGAACCUUACCUGGUCUUGACAUCCACAGAACUUUCCAGAGAUGGACUGGUGCCUUCGGGAACUGUGAGACAGGUGCUGCAUGGCUGUCGUCAGCUCGUGUUGUGAAAUGUUGGGUUAAGUCCCGCAA
Molecule: ribosomal RNA, 1102 nt
Filed under: Salmonella enterica
Lineage: Bacteria; Pseudomonadati; Pseudomonadota; Gammaproteobacteria; Enterobacterales; Enterobacteriaceae
Description: bacterial SSU rRNA
Rfam family: Bacterial small subunit ribosomal RNA
Source: RNAcentral